CAAAAACAUGUCCUUUUGAAUUUAAUUUAAGGUCUGACCUGCCCAGUGAAUAAUUUUAACGGCCGCGGUAUACUGACCGUGCAAAGGUAGCAUAAUCAUUAGUCUUUUAAUAGAGGGCUGGAAUGAAAGGUUUGACGAGGAAUUGGCUGUCUCAUUUUAUUUGUUUUAAAAUUUAAUUUUUUAGUCAAAAAGCUAAAAUUUUAUUGGAAGACGAGAAGACCCUAUAGAUCUUUAUAAAUUUUAUUUAAUUAAUAUUAUAUUAAUAUGUUACAUUAAUUAUUUAUUUUGUUGGGGUGACAAGAAUAAAAUAUAACUUUUUUAUUUAUUUUUCAUUGAUUUAUGUUUAUUAGAUCCAUUAUUAUUGAUUAUUAGACUAAGUUACCUUAGGGAUAACAGCGUAAUCCUCCUCCAGAGCUCAUAUUUACAGGAAGGGCUUGCGACCUCGAUGUUGGAUUAAGAUUAUAAUUAGGUGUAGCCGCUUAAUAUAUAGGUCUGUUCGACCUUUAAAUUCUUACAUGAUCUGAG
RNAcentral lists this ribosomal RNA (525 nucleotides) under Zygonyx natalensis. RNAcentral describes it as "partial 16S ribosomal RNA". It matches the Rfam family "Bacterial large subunit ribosomal RNA", at positions 1808 to 2609 of the family's 2925-position model. Lineage: Eukaryota; Metazoa; Arthropoda; Insecta; Odonata; Libellulidae. The record is from RNAcentral.